This is a long non-coding RNA of Trachemys scripta elegans, 1619 nucleotides long. RefSeq lists it as uncharacterized. NCBI's taxonomy places the organism in Eukaryota, Metazoa, Chordata, Testudines, Emydidae. The record is from RefSeq and is a predicted model, not a curated record. The transcript has 2 exons.
CCUAACCAUAACAGGUAGACCUUACUGGCUGCUACUGACUCUUAUCUCACCCCUAUUCUUUUCUUUUUACAUACUGUAGCUUCUUUCAAAGGCGUAAUGAACAAACUGUCAAGUGAAUUGUCUGAAACCUACUGUCUAUGCAAUAGAUCAAAGCAAACCACAAGCAUUUUGUGUCACGUACACACAGAUCUGGAUAAACUCAGUGGAUUGUAGGGAGAGGAUGUCGAAACUUGAAAACUAGAAUUCCUAUUUCGGGAACUGCUUCUGUACCACAAUCCUUUCUAGGCCAGUAACUGAGUAUCCAGCUAGAGAAGGUGAGUGAGGUAAAAUUCUAAAAUGCACACAGGAGGGGUUGGAAAUGAAACUGGUGUGAUUUUUUUGCAGGGGAAACGUCUUUGUUUAAGCCUGUGAAAAUAAAACAGAACAAAAAGCAUUUAAACCCUCCGCUUUUGCUUCCACGUUCAGAGGAAAACUGCCCCCACUUUGAUCACCCCUCUGGUAAGAGUGCUCACACAACAAGCCCUUUUUACUAUGGUGUGGCAGUUAUUUUUUUAAGCAGGUCUUCUUAAAAUGCAUUUAGCACUUCUGAGCCUAGAGCUGCGGGCAGCCAUCUUGCUAAAAAGAAUGUCACCUGUGACUGGCAUCCUGAGGGCCCUAUGAAAGAGACACUAAACCAGUCUCCAUACUGCUUCACCAGUCGGUUCUGACUGCUUAAACCAUUGCUACUCGGUGUUCAAGUGAGUUUAAAAACGGAUUUAGCCUCGCCUGCCUGCCUGCAGCUCUAGGCUCAGAAAGAACUGUAUUAAAAAGCCUUGAAAUGGGUGUUAUUUGCCGUGACAAGGAGUUCUUACCAUGUGAACGGAAUGAGUGCAGCUUUCCUUUAACAUUGGACACCCGUGGAAGUUCCAUUUGCGUGUCUGUUCUACUUCAGGUUCCAAUAAAACCUGAUAAUUUAGAGCAAUACUAUGGCUGUCUUUGCAUCGCUCUUAGGCCUAUUUUUUAUUCCUAUUCUGGGAUUAAACUCCACCACACUGCAUUAGAGUUUGCUUGUUGACUAAUUUCUAAUCCACAGGACUCUUGAUCGGGAGUAUUUUUCAUUCUCUGUUUACAGGGCUGGUAAAUUGCCCAGACACCUGAUAUCUACAGGGCAGUAAGAUGUGGUUUAUCUUCUUAUUUUCCCUGGAAGACUCUAUGGACAAAUGGAGAGAUGGUAGGAUUAUGAUAUCAAAAAUACCAAAGAAGUAAAAGGGGAAGUGAUAUUUAUUCAAGCGUCAAAAUCAAUUUAAUUCAAUGCCUGACAAGCAGUUGAAAGACAAGUUUUUUUUGUUGAAAAGAUUCCAUGCCCUGGACCUUCCAGUUGAGGGCUGAGAACUCCCAUUCCAGUUCUGUGUCCUCUAAAGAAACCUCCAGCAAAAAAGUGAACAAGGAAGAGAAGAUGCUUCUGACAUUAAACAAAUGAAUCAAACUCCUGUUAGACUGUAUUCAUUAUAAACCAACCAAAAAGGAUCGAUGUUUCAGUUUUUCCCUUUGCAGAUCACCUUUAAAGCAUCAGAUAAUCUUAAUUAAAUAAAUUAAUGUAGAUUUGAGGCCAAUAGCCUUUUGGUUACUGACUUAACACA